AGAGUUUGAUCAUGGCUCAGGACGAACGCUGGCGGCGUGCUUAACACAUGCAAGUCGAACGCUGAAGCUCAGCUUUUGUUGGGUGGAUGAGUGGCGAACGGGUGAGUAACACGUGAGUAACCUGCCCCCUUCUUUGGGAUAACGCCCGGAAACGGGUGCUAAUACUGGAUAUUCACUGGUCUUCGCAUGGGGGUUGGUGGAAAGGGUUUUUCUGGUGGGGGAUGGGCUCGCGGCCUAUCAGCUUGUUGGUGGGGUGAUGGCCUACCAAGGCUUUGACGGGUAGCCGGCCUGAGAGGGUGACCGGUCACAUUGGGACUGAGAUACGGCCCAGACUCCUACGGGAGGCAGCAGUGGGGAAUAUUGCACAAUGGGCGCAAGCCUGAUGCAGCGACGCCGCGUGAGGGAUGGAGGCCUUCGGGUUGUGAACCUCUUUCGCUCAUGGUCAAGCCGCAACAAUGGUUGUGGUGAGGGUAGUGGGUAAAGAAGCGCCGGCUAACUACGUGCCAGCAGCCGCGGUAAUACGUAGGGCGCGAGCGUUGUCCGGAAUUAUUGGGCGUAAAGGGCUUGUAGGCGGUUGGUCGCGUCUGCCGUGAAAUCCUCUGGCUUAACUGGGGGCGUGCGGUGGGUACGGGCUGACUUGAGUGCGGUAGGGGAGACUGGAACUCCUGGUGUAGCGGUGGAAUGCGCAGAUAUCAGGAAGAACACCGGUGGCGAAGGCGGGUCUCUGGGCCGUUACUGACGCUGAGGAGCGAAAGCGUGGGGAGCGAACAGGAUUAGAUACCCUGGUAGUCCACGCUGUAAACGUUGGGCACUAGGUGUGGGGGCCACCCGUGGUUUCUGCGCCGUAGCUAACGCUUUAAGUGCCCCGCCUGGGGAGUACGGCCGCAAGGCUAAAACUCAAAGGAAUUGACGGGGGCCCGCACAAG
This 926-nucleotide ribosomal RNA is filed under the name Actinomyces sp. TCD64.5. RNAcentral's name for it is "bacterial SSU rRNA". It matches the Rfam family "Bacterial small subunit ribosomal RNA", at positions 8 to 929 of the family's 1533-position model. The record is from RNAcentral. Lineage: Bacteria; Bacillati; Actinomycetota; Actinomycetes; Actinomycetales; Actinomycetaceae.